UGCGUAUUUCGCGGCGGCGGAGCUCGACCGCCGAUCGAAGACAUGAUCGCGUUCAUCGACGCUCACCGCGGGCUCUACGGGGUCGAGCCGAUCUGCCGGCAACUGCCGAUCGCCCCG
Regulatory RNA element from Jannaschia aquimarina, 117 nucleotides. It matches the Rfam family "ALIL pseudoknot". The record is from Rfam. Lineage: Bacteria; Pseudomonadati; Pseudomonadota; Alphaproteobacteria; Rhodobacterales; Roseobacteraceae.